This 253-nucleotide ribosomal RNA is filed under the name uncultured bacterium. Its description in RNAcentral is "partial 16S ribosomal RNA". It matches the Rfam family "Bacterial small subunit ribosomal RNA", at positions 524 to 776 of the family's 1533-position model. The record is from RNAcentral.
UACGUAGGGUGCAAGCGUUAAUCGGAAUUACUGGGCGUAAAGCGUGCGCAGGCGGCUUUGCAAGACAGAUGUGAAAUCCCCGGGCUUAACCUGGGAACUGCAUUUGUGACUGCACGGCUAGAGUACGGCAGAGGGGGAUGGAAUUCCGCGUGUAGCAGUGAAAUGCGUAGAUAUGCGGAGGAACACCGAUGGCGAAGGCAAUCCCCUGGGCCUGUACUGACGCUCAUGCACGAAAGCGUGGGGAGCAAACAGG